Molecule: ribosomal RNA, 250 nt
Filed under: uncultured bacterium
Lineage: Bacteria
Description: partial 16S ribosomal RNA
Rfam family: Bacterial small subunit ribosomal RNA
Source: RNAcentral
UACAGAGGGUGCGAGCGUUGUCCGGAAUCACUGGGCGUAAAGGGCGCGUAGGCGGCCGAUCAAGUGUGUGGUGAAAGCCCGGGGCUCAACCCCGGGUCUGCCGUGCAAACUGGUUGGCUUGAGCACUGUAGAGGCAGGUGGAAUUCCGGGUGUAGCGGUGGAAUGCGUAGAGAUCCGGAAGAACACCGGUGGCGAAGGCGGCCUGCUGGGCAGUAGCUGACGCUGAGGCGCGACAGCGUGGGGAGCAAAC